Molecule: ribosomal RNA, 253 nt
Filed under: uncultured bacterium
Lineage: Bacteria
Description: partial 16S ribosomal RNA
Rfam family: Bacterial small subunit ribosomal RNA
Source: RNAcentral
UACGUAGGGUGCGAGCGUUGUCCGGAAUUAUUGGGCGUAAAGAGCUCGUAGGCGGUUUGUCGCGUCGUUCGUGAAAACUCCACGCUUAACGUGGAGCGUGCGGGCGAUACGGGCAGACUUGAGUUCGGUAGGGGAGACUGGAAUUCCUGGUGUAGCGGUGAAAUGCGCAGAUAUCAGGAGGAACACCGGUGGCGAAGGCGGGUCUCUGGGCCGAUACUGACGCUGAGGAGCGAAAGCGUGGGGAGCGAAUGGG